This 851-nucleotide ribosomal RNA is filed under the name Amanita inopinata. RNAcentral's name for it is "partial 28S ribosomal RNA". The record is from RNAcentral. Lineage: Eukaryota; Fungi; Basidiomycota; Agaricomycetes; Agaricales; Amanitaceae.
UUGACCUCAAAUCAGGUAGGACUACCCGCUGAACUUAAGCAUAUCAAUAAGCGGAGGAAAAGAAACUAACAAGGAUUCCCCUAGUAACUGCGAGUGAAGCGGGAAAAGCUCAAAUUUAGAAUCUGGCAGUCUUUGGCUGUCCGAGUUGUAAUCUAGAGAAGUGUUAUCCGUGCUGGACCAUGUAUAAGUCUCCUGGAAUGGAGUGUCAUAGAGGGUGAGAAUCCCGUCUUUGACAUGGACUCCCAGUGCAUUGUGAUGCGCUCUCAAAGAGUCGAGUUGUUUGGGAAUGCAGCUCUAARUGGGUGGUAAAUUCCAUCUAAAGCUAAAUAUUGGMGAGAGACCGAUAGCGAACAAGUACCGUGAGGGAAAGAUGAAAAGAACUUUGGAAAGAGAGUUAAACAGUACGUGAAAUUGUUGAAAGGGAAACGCUUGAAGUCAGUCAUGUUGGCUGGGGAUCAGCCCUGCUCUUUUGCUGGGUGUAUUUCCCAGUUGACAGGUCAGCAUCAAUUUUGACCACUGGARGAAAGGUUGAGGGAAUGUGGCAUCUCUGUGAUGUGUUAUAGCCCUCAGUUGUAUACRGUGGUUAGGAUUGAGGAACUCASCACGCCGCAGGGACGGGUUAUUGCCCAAKUUCGUGCUUAGGAUGCUGGCAUAAUGGCUUUAAUCGACCCGUCUUGAAACACGGACCAAGGAGUCUAACAUGCCUGCAAGUGUUUGGKUGGAAAACCCGAGCGCGUAAUGAAAGUGAAAGUUGAGAUCCCUGUCAUGGGGAGCAUCGACSCCCGGCCCAGAAUUUUUGGGASGGWUYUGCGUAAGAGCAUGUAUGUUGGGACCCGAAAGAUGGUGAACUA